AUUCCAGCUCCAAUAGCGUAUAUUAAAGUUGUUGCAGUUAAAAAGCUCGUAGUUGAACUUCUGUCUGUAUGUCAACCCUACAAGGAUCUGACAAGACGGGCAUCCCCGAUCGACGGUUUACUGUACUUAAGUGUUCAUAUAACCUGAACCGGAUUUUACUUUGAAAAAAUUAGAGUGUUUCAAGCAGGCGAUUUGCUGGAAUACAUUAGCAUGGAAUAAUAGAAGAUGACCACCACGCAUUUUUUUGGUAUAUUGCUGGAGGUAAUGAUUAACAGGGACAGUUGGGGGCAUUAGUAUUUAACUGUCAGAGGUGAAAUUCAUUGAUUAAUUAAAGACUAACUUAUGCGAAAGCAUUUGCCAAGGAUGUUUUCAUCG
RNAcentral lists this ribosomal RNA (375 nucleotides) under Colpoda sp. RNAcentral's name for it is "partial small subunit ribosomal RNA". It matches the Rfam family "Eukaryotic small subunit ribosomal RNA", at positions 582 to 975 of the family's 1831-position model. Lineage: Eukaryota; Ciliophora; Colpodea; Colpodida; Colpodidae. The record is from RNAcentral.